UACGUAGGUGGCGAGCGUUAUCCGGAAUUAUUGGGCGUAAAGAGCGCGCAGGUGGUUGAUUAAGUCUGAUGUGAAAGCCCACGGCUUAACCGUGGAGGGUCAUUGGAAACUGGUCAACUUGAGUGCAGAAGAGGGAAGUGGAAUUCCAUGUGUAGCGGUGAAAUGCGUAGAUAUCGGGAGGAACACCAGUGGCGAAGGCGACUUCCUGGCACAAUACUGACGCUCAUGUGCGAAAGCUAGGGUAGCGAACGGGAUUAGAUA
This 261-nucleotide ribosomal RNA is filed under the name uncultured prokaryote. Its description in RNAcentral is "partial 16S ribosomal RNA". It matches the Rfam family "Bacterial small subunit ribosomal RNA", at positions 524 to 784 of the family's 1533-position model. The record is from RNAcentral.